Molecule: ribosomal RNA, 253 nt
Filed under: uncultured bacterium
Lineage: Bacteria
Description: partial 16S ribosomal RNA
Rfam family: Bacterial small subunit ribosomal RNA
Source: RNAcentral
GACAGGGGAUGCGAGUGUUAUUCGGAAUUAUUGGGCGUAAAGUGUUUGUAGGUGGAAUUCGAAGUCUUUUGUAAAAUCUCUAAGCUUAACUUAGAAAUCGCAAAAGAUACUGGUUUUCUAGAGUAUGGUAGAGGUAAAGGGAAUUUCCAGUGGAGCGGUGAAAUGCGUAGAGAUUGGAAGGAACACCAACAGCGAAGGCACUUUACUGGGCCAUUACUGACACUGAGAGACGAAAGCUAAGGGAGCAAACGGG